GGGGAAGUAGCUCAGUUUGUUAGAGCAGUUGCAAAAACAUCGAUUCCGUUCUAGGAAAUGGAAAUGUAUAAUUCGACAGCAGGUCAGUGGUUCAAAUCCAUUCUUCUCCA
RNAcentral lists this transfer RNA (110 nucleotides) under Flavobacterium sp. RNAcentral's name for it is "tRNA-OTHER". It matches the Rfam family "tRNA". From Rfam's summary of the family: Transfer RNA (tRNA) molecules are approximately 80 nucleotides in length. Their secondary structure includes four short double-helical elements and three loops (D, anti-codon, and T loops). The record is from RNAcentral. Lineage: Bacteria; Pseudomonadati; Bacteroidota; Flavobacteriia; Flavobacteriales; Flavobacteriaceae.